This 91-nucleotide transfer RNA is filed under the name Staphylococcus sp. Its description in RNAcentral is "tRNA-Ser". It matches the Rfam family "tRNA". Rfam says of the family: Transfer RNA (tRNA) molecules are approximately 80 nucleotides in length. Their secondary structure includes four short double-helical elements and three loops (D, anti-codon, and T loops). Lineage: Bacteria; Bacillati; Bacillota; Bacilli; Caryophanales; Staphylococcaceae. RNAcentral also lists the same sequence under 5 other names. The record is from RNAcentral.
GGAGUAGUACUCAAGAGGCUGAAGAGGCGCCCCUGCUAAGGGUGUAGGUCGGGAAACUGGCGCAAGGGUUCAAAUCCCUUCUACUCCGCCA